Molecule: unclassified non-coding RNA, 230 nt
Filed under: plant metagenome
Description: partial contains small subunit ribosomal RNA, internal transcribed spacer 1, and 5.8S ribosomal RNA
Source: RNAcentral
UCUCCGUAGGUGAACCUGCGGAGGGAUCAUUACAGAGUUCUCGCCCUCACGGGUAGAUCUCCCACCCACUGUUAUCGUUACUGUCGUUUCUUUGGCGGGCCGCCGGGUCCCCGGCCGCCGGCGCCUAGCUGCCGGCGCGCGCCCGCCAGAGGCCUUCAAACUCUGAAUGUUAGUGUCGUCUGAGUACUAUAUAAUAGUUAAGACUUUCAACAACGGAUCUCUUGGUUCUG